GAGUUUGAUCUUGGCUCAGAUUGAACGCUGGCGGCAUGCCUUACACAUGCAAGUCGAACGGCAGCAUGAUCUAGCUUGCUAGAUUGAUGGCGAGUGGCGAACGGGUGAGUAAUACAUCGGAACGUGCCCUGUAGUGGGGGAUAACUAGUCGAAAGAUUAGCUAAUACCGCAUACGACCUGAGGGUGAAAGUGGGGGACCGCAAGGCCUCAUGCUAUAGGAGCGGCCGAUGUCUGAUUAGCUAGUUGGUGGGGUAAAGGCCCACCAAGGCGACGGUCAGUAGCUGGUCUGAGAGGACGAUCAGCCACACUGGGACUGAGACACGGCCCAGACUCCUACGGGAGGCAGCAGUGGGGAAUUUUGGACAAUGGGCGAAAGCCUGAUCCAGCAAUGCCGCGUGUGUGAGAAGG
RNAcentral lists this ribosomal RNA (408 nucleotides) under uncultured microorganism. RNAcentral's name for it is "bacterial SSU rRNA". It matches the Rfam family "Bacterial small subunit ribosomal RNA", at positions 9 to 413 of the family's 1533-position model. The record is from RNAcentral.